ACUUGGUGUCUGGUGCUCAAACCCCGCCCAUUUCCUGGUGGCUAACCCUCUGUGCUUCCAGCAGUUGUACCUUGCUCCACCCAGUGGCUGCUAGCUCUAAGCCUCAGUAAUCGAGCUCCUGCCAGUGGGUUUCAGGCCGCACUCCGACCCCGGACCUUCAUAUUCCUGUCAUUGAUUGAGAUUCUGGCUGAAAAUGCUUUACAGAACACCCAUCCCAUCCUCCCCCAGGAUACAGUUCAGUUUCAUGUGCAUUCUCACCUCAAAUAAUGAAAGGAGUCACACCCUGCUAAACUGUGCUGAUGUUUUUUUUUUUUUUUUUUUUUUUUCCAGCUGACCCAGUGUUUGCAUUUUACUUUAUAAAGAUUGCAGCAACAAAAAAAUACCUCAAUGCAAUCCAAUCAAAAAAGAUGCCAAGAUAAAAAAUGUGGAGUUAAAUGUGUCCAGUGUGCUUGUCAUUGUUUCGUAAAUCCUUGUAUGUUUUCUAUAACCUCAUAUUUGUAUUUUUGACAGGUUAUAAAAUUUCCCUUUCAAAAUAAAGAAAUGUAAUAAUUUGA
This is a non-coding RNA of Oryzias latipes (Japanese medaka), 554 nucleotides long. NCBI's taxonomy places the organism in Eukaryota, Metazoa, Chordata, Actinopteri, Beloniformes, Adrianichthyidae. The record is from RefSeq and is a predicted model, not a curated record.